This 4897-nucleotide long non-coding RNA is filed under the name Eucalyptus grandis. Its description in RNAcentral is "long non-coding RNA (EGRA_LNC004503)". Lineage: Eukaryota; Viridiplantae; Streptophyta; Magnoliopsida; Myrtales; Myrtaceae. The record is from RNAcentral.
UGGUUAAAUGAAGAGACUUAAAUGAGGGUUGAGAGUCCAUUUGAUGCAGCUCGCAUUGAGGACCAGCUCUCUCAACCAAGAAGAUCGGCCCAUAUUAAAGCUCAAUGAAACCGAGAAGCCGUAUCGACCAUCCUUGGAGAGUUGCAGUCAUCGAUCUAGAAAAAUCGGUGCCCCCUCAACUUCCUUGGAGGCCUAGGUGAGCAACUAACGGAGUUUCUAUCUUUUCCUUUUCUGUUCGUUAUUUCCAACCCAAUUUCGACCAUCCUACAGUGCUUAUUUCAGAAAACGCAAAACAUAUAAAGUGUAGAUCCAGAAGUCUUUGUUCAUUUGGCUUUGGAAUCAGGUUGAUCCGAUCUAUAUCAACAAAGAUACGACUGUUCUAUUGAGCCUGCUCAGUGUUGAAAUUUCUGUUCGCCCUGUUUUCCCGUGUGCAAGUCACUCUCCCGAUCCUAUUGUUUGAGAAAGCCUACCCUUGGCUUGCAUCAUUAUUGCUCAAAAGCCAUUGAUUAUGAUGAUGAAAAAACUUCGAACACUACCUAUCGAAUUAUCUUAUUCGUCAACCAUGUGUGCCAAAUCUUUCAUACAAGUUGUAUUUGAGAACUACUUUCAUGUUAUCGAAGCACAAGAGCCAUGGUCAAGUUCAAUCAAACUCUUGUAGACCCUCAUUUCACAGCUUGUCCAGCCCAUCGAGAACAUUACAGGCCUAUUUGGUUCUUGAGAUAGUUUCAUUCGAUGAAACUGUGUCGUAGGUAGUAUUUUGAAAGCUCACAUGGAUGCAGAAUCUUGUGUGAUACGGCAAGAUAAAAUCAUUUUGCCAAAUCUUGGUCUUAAGAAUCCAAGAUCAAAAAUGUUAUGCAAUUGACAUAGCAUGUCCUUAGUGACUAACACUAAACUCCUGAUGGCCCAAGUAUUGAUGGGGCAAUUGCUGCAUACCCAAAUGCAUUAGACCCCAUGCAUGCAAUAUGUCGGAUAAUUUGAGUCUCACUAGGAAUUCGUAAGAUCCAAGAAAUCUUGUUUACUGGAUCUAUAUUUUCUGGCUGCGGCCAAUAAUUUUCUGUACCAGUGGCCCCCGUAUGCCCUUUUGAGUUUGCUCCCGCACUAUCAUGGUUGAGAUUUCGUGGUUUAAGCUUCACAAUGAACCUCAAAAGUUACUGUCCUUCCUUGUUCAAAGGUGCGUGAUGAAUCGAAUUUAUCGCGCUUGUGAUGGGAAACGGUCAGACACUUGAAGAGUCCCAAACAAUCCAUUCCUCACGAAACAAAAUUGUAAUGAAAAAGAUCUUUGGGUGAAAACAAUUGAAAACGUCCCAUUUAUUAUUUUCACUCUUUCCACGAGGACCCGGCCGAAAUCAGAACAUGGUUUUGACAAAAAUGAAACUAUAGUUCUCGGUUAGAAAACAUGUUUUUUUUUUCUUUUCUAAUCAAACACAAUAAUUACGAAUAUACACAAGUAAAAACUAAAAUUAUUCUCAUUUUCAUAGGCAUAUUUUGAGAAAUCACGUGCGGUCUAUAUAGAAAAUUAAAGCAGUGACUGAGGUUGAAUCUGCCUUGAUCUUAGCUAUUAGGCCUUAAUGGAACUUAUUACAAAAAACCCAUUGUCCGCUUGAACCAAAGGUUAUAGAUGCUAUAACAAAACUUCGUAAGAAAAUAACUAGAGAAAUCUAUGAAGAUCGAAUUAGGUCUCAAGAUAAAAAUCGGUCUACCAACCACAAGAAAAGUGGAAAUGAAAGCAAUGUAGUUUCGAGUGAAUGGAUACUCCAAGAUAGAACAAGAAAAGUUGAAUCCGAUUAAUUCAACUUCUAUGACUUUGGAAUAAUUAGAAAAUUACAAAAAACGAAAUUAUUCAUUUUGAGCAACAAAGUUCGAUUUAAUCAAAUUUGACAACAGGUUUUCUAACAAGUCUUGCAAGGAGCUUUUGGAACUCUUAAUAGUUGGUUGAAUAACGAGUUACAUUACUUGCCCUGCCCUCGACUGUCUGGCGGGAUCUGGGUGCACGCACCAUAGCCCCACCAUCAUCAGGCACUUCAUCUCCUCCUAUGGGAACUCCGAGUGCAACACCUCGUCAACCGCGCGCCGAGGACGUUGCUAGCAAGGUAGAGUUGCUAGACCCACUCGUGUAGUGAGACCUGGAUCUCUGUUCUCAUAGCUCCUCCGGCCAUGACACCAAAGCUAAACAUGUCGGACUCCGGGGUGGCCUUCCCUCCAAUAAAGUAUUUUGGCGCUAGAUACCCGCAAGUCCCAACCACGUCUGCUGUCUGAGUCCUGAAUCGGGGGUCGACAAGCUUGGCCACUCCAAAGUCGGCAAGCUUGGUGCUGAAGUUGGAGUCGAGUAGUACAUGGGCUGCCUUUAUGUCCUGGUGGAGCACAUAUUGCUCGAGAUCAUCCUCAUAGCUCCUCUGGCCAUCAUGCCGAAGCUGAACAUGUUGGACUCCGUGGUGGCCUUUGUGGGAUGCAAAACGUGCAAUCCCAAGAUCUUCAUAACCAAAACAAGAGCACAAAUGAUUGAGUAAAAAGAUUAACGCACCUAUUUUGAAAUCUAUCGUUCUUGAUGAGGAAGUAGAAAAAUGAUGAUCCACUCGCUAGUCAUUCUCCUCUAUUGUCCUUUGUAUUACUGACUUAAUGAGCUGGUCCCCUCACCCUUUAGCGCUAGGUAAACGCUCCUUAUGUGAGGAUCUUUGUAAGAAUUAGGGUUAGAUGAGAGAUUUGAGCACUAUUUAUAGAAUUUUCAACUAGGUCCUCUCAUUAUAAGCUAGGCUCAACUCGGCCCACAUUAGCCAGUCCCAUAUUAGACUAAUAAAGAAACAUUUUAUUUCACUUUAGACCAACCAACCCCGUAAAAUGGUAAAUUACAAUAUCAAUUUAUGUAGCCUACAUCUUGAAAACUCUUACAUUCUCUCACUUGGGCUAUAUUAAUUGAAAUUGUACUGUAUGUGCGCAUAUUAGUUUAGAAAUAAUUAUUAAUAAUCAAUUCCAUCCCAUAAAGUUUUUUUUUUUUUUUUGGUGACCCAGGGAACCCCUGCACAGCCGACAGCUGUGAAGUAAACAUUGGGAAGGCACGUAGGAAACCACCACCAACGCACCCCGGGUAAGUCGCCAAAUGAUCCGUCAGCCUCCUUGCAACUUGCGUUGCAGGGGCUUUGAACUCUAGACCUCCUACGUGGAAGUCUAGAGCCUACCCAACGGAGCCACCGCGACGGGUGGUUCCAUCCCAUAAAGUUUCAAACACCAAAUCAUGACAGUAAUUGCAUGUAUACACAUAGAGCCUUCCAUGAUCAUGAGUGCUUUUAACUUUAUUGAUAUGGAUUCAAUAUGGUAGUAUAGCAAAUGGAUAAUACCUCUCACAGAGAAAUCCCAUUUGUCAAUCAAUGUUCUCUUACAUUAAGUGUCACAAAAAACUUGUGCCACUAGAUAAUGUCUUUAUGGUUCCAAUGAACUCACACAUGCCUUAUUUUUAUGGUUAACAUUUCUUUAUAUAUAACAAGACAUAUGCAUAAGGCUAAUAACCGGAUGCCCCUAGCUUUCACUCAAGGUUUAUACAAUACAUUGAGACUUUUAUUAAUAUGUAUUUAACAUAAUAACAACACAUUAAAAAAUAUUACUAAAUGUAACAAACACAAAUGUAAACUUUAUUGCAGUAAAACCGAAAGAGCUCCCACUAAACAACAAUAUCUCAUGAUGCUUUUAAGCUCAUGUUAAUGACAUGUUGCUCAAACACACAAUGGCAUAGGCAUUUAGUUAGUGGAUCUGCAACCAUAUUAUCCGUGGAAAUAAGUUAUAUUAUAACGUCACAUUUUUUUACGUUUCUUUAUAGUAAAAAAUUUGACUACCAUAUAUUUAGACUCUUUGAGAUGUCUAUCGUUAAUAAAAAUACUAUAAAUUUAUUGUCUCAAUACAACUGUAUGAGUGAAUCCAUAAAAUUAAAAAUGAUCAACUCCUUAAUGAGGUUUUGGAGCUUAAUAGCCUAAGUAGCAGCCUAAAAGAAUAUUACAAACUCUGCUUAUAUAGUAGGAGAUGACAUAGUGUUUUAUUUACUGCAUUUCCCGCUAACAUAAAUAUGUAUUAUGUUAUUGGUCUUGUAUCAUCCUAAUAGCUAGCAAAGUUUUUUACAUCUAAAUAUCCUGCUAGCUACAAGACUUGAACAUCUAUGUAAAUCAUCAUACAUUAUACUUUUAAGUACACUGACACAUGGUAUACCCUUUAACUAGAUUUUCUCAAUAUCUUAAUAAAGACAAUGUAAUAGAUUCAGUUCAUUGCCCUUAAUGAUAAGAGCAAUUUCUAGCUUACAAUGAUGUAUAUUGAAUAUUUCCAAAAUACGAUCAACAAAUGUCAUCUAAGAUAAAUCCAAUAUAUAUGGCGAGGACAAUCUUUACGGACCUUAGUGCAAAGGACAAAAGAUGUAUCGAGAUCACUACUUGUAAGCAAAAUAUCAUGUAUAUAAAAUAUGAGAAAAAUAAAUUUUCUCCCAUUGAUCUUGCAGUAUAUAUAUUAAAUUACUUUGUUCCAAAUUAAACGAAAUAACAUCACUGAAACUUUAAUAAUAUUGUCUGAAAACUUAAAAUUAUGAAUAAUAAUUUUCAGUUUACACACAAGUUUACUUGAAUCAUUUGCUACAAAAUCCUCCGGUUACACUAUAUAGAUUUUGUUAUCGUGUCUAUUUAAAAAGAUAGUAUCUAUUUGGCGUAACUCCAUAUAAAAAAAGAGCUAUUAAUGUCAUGUUCACUUUAAAAGAAUUUUUAAAAAUACUAGAAAAAAAUAACUGUUAAUGUCAUGUUUAUUCUGAAAGAAAGGUUCUUGCUCACAGAAUUGUAGGUCACUACAAUAUCGAUCGCUUUCCCGCCGUGCAAUCGGGGAUCCUAGUGGUCAUAACAAGCGAAGAGAGCUGGUUCUUAUUGAUUCCUAU